GUAAGUGUGACUGACUCCAUGACCCCAAAAUGGAACCCAAAGCUGAAAAAUGUAGCUCAGCAUGGAGCUGUUACCUGUCUUGCUUUGUGUAGGUCUGACUGAUUGACUUGAGUGUUUGCUCCAUCUACUUUCCCUCUGUCUUAGUUUCAGCUGCUAUAACAAACACUGUAGACUGGGGGGCUUAGACAAUGAUUUAUUUCUCACAGUUCUGCAGGCCGAGAAGUCCAAGAUCAAGAUGCUGGCUGAUCAAAGUUCCUGGUCAGCUGUGCCGUGGGUGAUCUAAGUGGGCACAGGUAGGCGCCUCUCCUCCAGGUAUGCUUCGCGGGUGCGUGGGUCAGUUGGAGCAACUCGGCUUCAAGCCACAGUUUGUGUUCAGGUUACUUCAGGAAUACGUGUAAGAAAUUGAGAUGCUGCCUCUUCCGUGAUGUCACACUGGAGAGAAAAAUCCAGACUGGACAGAAAUGGUGGAUUGAAAGGAAUUGUGGAUGAACACCUAGAAUCCUCUGGUAUUCCGAUUACUGCACACAUACAUGCUGGGCAGUGACUGGAGAGCUGAGAAGAGAGGAAAAGGAAAAGGCUGAGGGUACAAGAGCUCUGAGCUUGGUGAGUUUUAGUGUCUUAAGUGAACCCAUCAAGGAGAAGGAGCCUAUUGCUUGCACAAGGCUCCACCACCUCCUGGAUAGCAAAGAAUUGAUUUACUGGGUGCUUUUUCUAUAUAUAUGCCUACUGUGGUUAGAUUGUAUUGGUAAUUCAAAUAUAUUAGAUGUAUUAUAUUAACUUUUAUCAACAAAUCAAGAAUCGCUGACUGUAUUUCUGUCAUGUGCAAGAUACCUUGACCAGGGAUGCCACUCUCCCCACUUGCUGCAUAGCUAGCACUUUCUCUUCCUUCUGUGGGAUGACCUCCAACAUCCCCUCCAGAGGCUAUCCUGAAGCAUCUCAUUGGAAGUCGGUCUCUUCUUCUCUACCAUUUCUUACCUGAGGCCCUUGUCCCUACCUAACCAUAAUGAUAAUCGACAAUCCGUUCAUUUAUCUGCUAUUUGUUGGCCAUCUCUAGAAGGGCAGGACCAGCAUCAAUAUCCUUGAUGCUUGGUGCAGUGUCUGGCAUGUAAGUGAAGUAAAAUGUGUAGGAUGACUAGAUACACACAAAGCAUAAUAUGAAAUUAAAUCAGAUCCCUUCCUUUUUCUUAAAACUUGACAAUAUUGGGAAGAGCCAUGUAUACAGAUAAGUAACAAAAAGAAGCAUGGCAACAUAAUUCCUUUUAAAAAUGAUGCAACUCAUAGAAAGAGCUGCAGGUGAUCUUGGUGCAUGUACAGGUGGGUACCAUGGUUUUCCAGAUGAGUAGAAAAAGCAGGGAAUAGGUUUGUGGUAGAAGUAGGAGCACAGCCUCAUGAACAACGUUCUUCCCAUUCACUGUUCUUUGGCCUCCAGGUAGGAUAUGUGAGUGAGUGAUGAGUGAUAUGUGUGUGUGUGUGUGUGUGUGUGUGUGUGUGUGUGUGUGUCUAGCCGCAGCCUGAAUUGGCACAUGGAGAGCUACCGUACUUGAGAUGUGUUGCACUGGAUUUCUUCGGGUCUUUGUUUUUGUUUUUGUUUUUGUUUUUGUUUUGAGGCAGAGUCUUGCACUUUCA
Long non-coding RNA from Cebus imitator (Panamanian white-faced capuchin), 1626 nucleotides. RefSeq lists it as uncharacterized. The record is from RefSeq and is a predicted model, not a curated record. The transcript is spliced from 3 exons. NCBI's taxonomy places the organism in Eukaryota, Metazoa, Chordata, Mammalia, Primates, Cebidae.